GUGGAGGGUAGUAUCCUGUAUAUGUCCUGGUGACAUAGUGAAGGUUAUGCUGUGGAGGGUAGUAUCCUGUAUAUGUCCUGGUGACAUAGUGAAGGUUAUGCUGUGGAGGGUAGUAUCCUGUAUAUGUCCUGGUGACAUAGCGAAGGUUAUGUUGUGGAGGGUAGUAUCCUGUAUAUGUCCUGGUGACAUAGUGAAGGUUAUGCUGUGGAGGGUAGUAUCCUGUAUAUGUCCUGGUGACAUAGUGAAGGUUAUGUUGUGGAGGGUAGUAUCCUGUAUAUGUCCUGGUGACAUAGUGAAGGUUAUGUUGUGGAGGGUAGUAUCCUGUAUAUGUCCUGGUGACAUAGUGAAGGUUAUGCUGUGGAGGGUAGUAUUCUGUAUAUGUCCUGGUGACAUAGUGAAAGUUAUGUUGUGGAGGGUAGUAUCCUGUAUAUGUCAUGGUGACAUAGUGAAGGUUAUGUUGUAGAGGGUAGUAUCCUGUAUAUGUCCUGGUGACAUAGUGUUGUGGAGGGUAGUAACCUGUAUAUGUCCUGGUGACAUAGUGUUGUAGAGGGUAGUAUCCUGUAUAUGUCCUGGUGACAUAGUGAAGGUUAUGUUGUGGAGGGUAGUAUCCUGUAUAU
RNAcentral lists this long non-coding RNA (617 nucleotides) under Salmo salar (Atlantic salmon). Its description in RNAcentral is "lncRNA (ENSSSAG00000116486.1)". Lineage: Eukaryota; Metazoa; Chordata; Actinopteri; Salmoniformes; Salmonidae. The record is from RNAcentral.